AUGGCCGGCCACGUGUUGGUGAGGGCAUUGAGUGGUGGCCGGCUGGUGAGGAGUGCAUGCAGGAGGUGGGGGGAGCUCAGUGCCAAUAAUGAGGUGAAGUGUUUGCCAUUCAGAAGUUACUCUUUACUAGAUGAAGGGAGUCAAACUAACCAUGGCGUAGGUGGAAGUGAGUUUGUUGCACCCCGAAGUGACCCUGCCGAUGCCUCCACGCCUCGGCAUAUCCCUGUCAUGGCAGAGGAGGUGCUGGAGUUCCUGGCACCACGGGACGGCAGUGUCAUCCUGGACAUGACCUUCGGGGGCGGCGGUCACUCCCGGCGGCUGCUGGCGGCCAAUCCCGGGGUGCGGCUGGUGUGCCUGGACCGGGACCCCCUCGCCCACCGCCUGGCCCUCGCCCUGCAGGAGGAACACCCCAGGCGGGUCUUGCCUCUGCUUGGGAGGUUCAGUGAGCUGCCAACACUGCUGACAAGACUCAAGAUAAAGCGAGGGUAUUUUGACGGGGUGCUGAUGGACCUUGGUGUGUCAUCCAUGCAGUUUGGCACGGCAGAGCGUGGCUUCAUGCUGAGCCAGGAUGGCCCCUUGGACAUGCGCAUGGAUGGAGGCAGGCAGCCUGAGCAGAUCACAGCAGCAGACGUGUUGGCCCACAUCGAUGAGAACUCCCUGUACAAGGUGCUCAAGUUCUACGGGGAGGAGAAGAAUGCUCGCCUGCUGUCCCGGGGGCUGGUGGAGUCCCGCCACAUGUUCCAGCGCCUGGACACCACCCGGGGCUUGGCCACCCUGGUGUCCUCCUUGCUGGACGACACAACACGCACUGACAAGCUGGGCCGCCAUGCCCACCCAGCCACCAAGACCUUCCAGGCUCUCAGAAUUUUGGUGAACAACGAACUCAAUGAGCUGGACUAUGCCAUGCGCCUUGCCCAGUACUACCUGCGGCCCCAGGGAGUGCUGGUGGCCAUAUCCUUCCAUUCCUUGGAGGACACCAUCGUCAAGCGUCAUCUGCAAGGCGUUGACAUGGACCACACCCCGGCCACCAUCGGCUUGGGAGUGGCCAAGCACCGCACAGCCCUCUCCACUUACACCAAGGCUGAGAUAGACAGCAUCACCGCCAAGGCAUGGAAGCAACUCACCAAGCAUGUGGUCCUUCCCUCUGACGAAGAAGUGGCCAGCAACCCAAGAGCCAGGUCUGCUAAGCUGCGGCCUGCCCUCCGCCUGUAGCUGUGACGUGCUGGCUGCAGUAGAGAGUCUUGGAAAACUUAGGGAACAGGAGCAAGACACAACAGAGGUUAAGAAAUAGGACAGAGUGACUCAGGAUGUAAAUAACAGUAACUAGAACUGUGUGGGGGAGCUGGGAGUGGGUGGAACAAGAGUAAUUGCUGGCAGGGAAGAGUGGGAUGUUGCAGCCAGAGGUGUGUGUGUGUGUGUGUGUGUGUGUGUGUGUGUGUGUGUGUGUGUGUGUGUGUGUGUGUGUGUGUGUGUGUGUGUGUGUGUGUUUU
This 1490-nucleotide unclassified non-coding RNA is filed under the name Portunus trituberculatus (swimming crab). Its description in RNAcentral is "probable methyltransferase-like protein 15 homolog, transcript variant X2". The record is from RNAcentral. Lineage: Eukaryota; Metazoa; Arthropoda; Malacostraca; Decapoda; Portunidae.